CCUACGGGUGGCAGCAGUGGGGAAUAUUGGACAAUGGGGGCAACCCUGAUCCAGCCAUGCCGCGUGUGUGAAGAAGGCCCUCGGGUUGUAAAGCACUUUCAGUGAGGAAGAACGCCUGGUGGUUAAUACCCAUCAGGAAAGACAUCACUCACAGAAGAAGCACCGGCUAACUCCGUGCCAGCAGCCGCGGUAAUACGGAGGGUGCGAGCGUUAAUCGGAAUUACUGGGCGUAAAGCGCGCGUAGGUGGCUUGAUAAGCCGGUUGUGAAAGCCCCGGGCUCAACCUGGGAACGGCAUCCGGAACUGUCAAGCUAGAGUGCAGGAGAGGAAGGUAGAAUUCCCGGUGUAGCGGUGAAAUGCGUAGAGAUCGGGAGGAAUACCAGUGGCGAAGGCGGCCUUCUGGACUGACACUGACACUGAGGUGCGAAAGCGUGGGUAGCAAACAGGAUUAGAUACCCCUGUAUC
Molecule: ribosomal RNA, 464 nt
Filed under: Vreelandella stevensii
Lineage: Bacteria; Pseudomonadati; Pseudomonadota; Gammaproteobacteria; Oceanospirillales; Halomonadaceae
Description: partial 16S ribosomal RNA
Rfam family: Bacterial small subunit ribosomal RNA
Source: RNAcentral